GUGCUUGUUUCAGCAGCACAUAUACUAAAAUUGAAACGAUACAGAGAAGAUUAGCAUGGCCCCUGUGCAAGGAUGACACUCAAAUUCGUGAAGUGUUCCAUAUUUUU
This 107-nucleotide small nuclear RNA is filed under the name Choloepus hoffmanni (Hoffmann's two-fingered sloth). Lineage: Eukaryota; Metazoa; Chordata; Mammalia; Pilosa; Megalonychidae. The record is from RNAcentral.